GGCGCCAGGAGCCGAUGAAGGACGUGGUAAGCUGCGAUAAAGCUUCGGGGGAGGUGCAAAGCAACCUUCGAUCCGAAGAUUUCCGAAUGAGGAAACUCAUACAGGGUAAUGCCUGUAUAUCUCUGCAAUGAAUACAUAGUGCAGUGAGGGGAACCCCGGAGAACUGAAACAUCUAAGUACCCGGAGGAAAAGAAAGAAAACUCGAUUCCCUAAGUAGCGGCGAGCGAAAGGGGGAACAGCCUAAAACCUGAAUCGGUUUUCCGGUCAGGGGUUUUGGACACCAUCAUGGAAUAGAGGUAUCAUAGUAGAAGAGCUUUGGAAAGAGCCGCCGCAGAGGGUAACAGCCCCGUAAACGAAAUGAGAAGACUUCCAGGUGUAUCCAGAGUACCACGAGACACGUUGAAAACCUUGUGGGAAGAUAGGGGGACCACCCCCUAAGGCUAAAUACUACCUGGCGACCGAUAGAGAAUAGUACCGUGAGGGAAAGGUGAAAAGAACCCC
Molecule: ribosomal RNA, 501 nt
Filed under: uncultured bacterium
Lineage: Bacteria
Description: bacterial LSU rRNA
Rfam family: Bacterial large subunit ribosomal RNA
Source: RNAcentral